AUUGAACGCUGGCGGCAGGCCUAACACAUGCAGGUCGAACGGUAACAGGAAGAAGCUUGCUUCUUUGCUGACGAGUGGCGGACGGGUGAGUAAUGUCUGGGAAACUGCCUGAUGGAGGGGGAUAACUACUGGAAACGGUAGCUAAUACCGCAUAACGUCGCAAGACCAAAAAGGGGGACCUUCGGGCCUCUUGCCAUCGGAUGUGCCCAGAUGGGAUUAGCUAGUAGGUGGGGUAACGGCUCACCUAGGCGACGAUCCCUAGCUGGUCUGAGAGGAUGACCAGCCACACUGGAACUGAGACACGGUCCAGACUCCUACGGGAGGCAGCAGUGGGGAAUAUUGCACAAUGGGCGCAAGCCUGAUGCAGCCAUGCCGCGUGUAUGAAGAAGGCCUUCGGGUUGUAAAGUACUUUCAGCGGGGAGGAAGGGAGUAAAGUUAAUACCUUUGCUCAUUGACGUUACCCGCAGAAGAAGCACCGGCUAACUCCGUG
RNAcentral lists this ribosomal RNA (490 nucleotides) under uncultured bacterium. RNAcentral's name for it is "partial 16S ribosomal RNA". It matches the Rfam family "Bacterial small subunit ribosomal RNA", at positions 30 to 507 of the family's 1533-position model. The record is from RNAcentral.